GGGGAAUAUUGCACAAUGGGCGCAAGCCUGAUGCAGCGACGCCGCGUGGGGGAUGACGGCCUACGGGUUGUAAACUCCUUUCGCUAGGGACGAAGCUUUUUGUGACGGUACCUAGAUAAGAAGCACCGGCUAACUACGUGCCAGCAGCCGCGGUAAUACGUAGGGUGCGAGCGUUGUCCGGAAUUACUGGGCGUAAAGGGCUCGUAGGUGGUUUGUCGCGUCGUCUGUGAAAUUCCGGGGCUUAACUCCGGGCGUGCAGGCGAUACGGGCAUAACUUGAGUACUGUAGGGGUAACUGGAAUUCCUGGUGUAGCGGUGAAAUGCGCAGAUAUCAGGAGGAACACCGAUGGCGAAGGCAGGUUACUGGGCAGUUACUGACGCUGAGGAGCGAAAGCAUGGGUAGCGAACAGGAUUAGAUACCCUGGUAGUCCAUGCCGUAAACGGUGGGCGCUAGGUGUGAGGGUCUUUUCACGACUUUCGUGCCGUAGCUAACGCAUUAAGCGCCCCGCCUGGGGAGUACGGCCGCAAGGCUA
Molecule: ribosomal RNA, 532 nt
Filed under: uncultured bacterium
Lineage: Bacteria
Description: bacterial SSU rRNA
Rfam family: Bacterial small subunit ribosomal RNA
Source: RNAcentral